RNAcentral lists this ribosomal RNA (468 nucleotides) under uncultured bacterium. RNAcentral's name for it is "partial 16S ribosomal RNA". It matches the Rfam family "Bacterial small subunit ribosomal RNA", at positions 28 to 507 of the family's 1533-position model. The record is from RNAcentral.
GACGAACGCUGGCGGCGUGCUUAACACAUGCAAGUCGAACGGAAAGGCCCUGCUUUUGUGGGGUGCUCGAGUGGCGAACGGGUGAGUAACACGUGAGUAACCUGCCCUUUACUUUGGGAUAACUUCAGGAAACUGGGGCUAAUACCGGAUAGGAGCUCCUGCUGCAUGGUGGGGGUUGGAAAGUUUCGGCGGUUGGGGAUGGACUCGCGGCUUAUCAGCUUGUUGGUGGGGUAGUGGCUUACCAAGGCUUUGACGGGUAGCAGGCCUGAGAGGGUGACCGGCAACAUUGGGACUGAGAUACGGCCCAGACUCCUACGGGAGGCAGCAGUGGGGAAUAUUGCACAAUGGGCGGAAGCCUGAUGCAGCAACGCCGCGUGCGGGAUGACGGCCUUCGGGUUGUAAACCGCUUUCGCCUGUGACGAAGCGUGAGUGACGGUAAUGGGUAAAGAAGCACCGGAUAACUACGUG